AUCUUUACAGCGUUUGGAGGUACCUCAGCUAGGAAUAGCUCAGGUUUAAAAAGGAACCGUGUGCAAAUCACGGGCUGACGCGCAACUGUAAGUAACAAUUGAUUGCUGCCACACAAAUGUCCAUUGUCCGGAGCCCGGAUGAGAAGGACGGCAACAAUGUUACAAGCCAGGAGACUUGCCCCAACAAUAUUCCACGC
This 197-nucleotide non-coding RNA is filed under the name Pontibacter lucknowensis. RNAcentral also lists the same sequence under 1 other name. Lineage: Bacteria; Pseudomonadati; Bacteroidota; Cytophagia; Cytophagales; Hymenobacteraceae. The record is from RNAcentral.